UGAGCUUAGGCCGGCUGGUGUUUUCCUUUCCGGGCCGCAGCAUAGCAUCGUGUCUUCUCACGCCUGCCUGCCGAGCCCUAGUUCUUGUUCGGCGCUGUUGGAUUGAGCUCAGGUCUUCCCCGAGCCUUUCCUUCCCCGAUCCUUCCUCUCUGUUUUGCCGAUCCUUUCUUCCCCGAUUCGAUCGCCGGCUUGAAGAUGCCCUAGGGUUUCGAAGGUCACGGAUUUGGAGAGGUUGGAAUCAGGGAGGUGUUGUUGGAUUAGGGGAAGGAAUCAGAUCAGACUCGUGCUAGGUUUUCCCUUGAUCGGAUCAGUGGACCUCCACCUCCUUGCUGUUGAUUGAGGUCUCAAAUUGAAGGUUAGGUACUGUGGGGUUUUGGUUGGUGGUCAGUAAUUGCAUCCGGGCAGAAAGGUAGAUUCUAGCAGCUCAUCCGGCAGGACCUCUUUCCGGCAGCCCUCUUGUUGACUGAGCUUGAGGUUGAGGCCGUCAGGAGAGAUUCCAGUCGCUAGCCCCU
Molecule: long non-coding RNA, 512 nt
Organism: Zingiber officinale
Lineage: Eukaryota; Viridiplantae; Streptophyta; Magnoliopsida; Zingiberales; Zingiberaceae
Exons: 5
Source: RefSeq, a predicted model, not a curated record